GUGAGGAAUAUUGCGCAAUGGGGGAAACCCUGACGCAGCGACGCCGCGUGGAGGAUGAAGGCCUUCGGGUCGUAAACUCCUUUCGACGGGGACGAACCGCUCUUCGGAGCCUGACGGUACCCGUAUAAGAAGCCCCGGCUAACUACGUGCCAGCAGCCGCGGUAAUACGUAGGGGGCAAGCGUUGCUCGGAAUCACUGGGCGUAGAGGGUCCGUAGGCGGUUCGGCAAGUUGGCUGUGAAAUCUCCCGGCUCAACUGGGAGGGUGCGGUCAAGACUGCUGAACUUGAGGGUCGGAGAGGCGAGUGGAAUUCCUGGUGUAGCGGUGAAAUGCGUAGAUAUCAGGAGGAACACCGGUGGCGAAAGCGGCUCGCUGGACGGCGCCUGACGCUGAGGGACGAAAGCUAGGGGAGCAAACAGG
RNAcentral lists this ribosomal RNA (418 nucleotides) under uncultured bacterium. Its description in RNAcentral is "bacterial SSU rRNA". It matches the Rfam family "Bacterial small subunit ribosomal RNA", at positions 354 to 776 of the family's 1533-position model. The record is from RNAcentral.